GUGAGUGUUACAGUUCUUAAAGGUGGCGUGU
This 31-nucleotide non-coding RNA is filed under the name Homo sapiens (human). Lineage: Eukaryota; Metazoa; Chordata; Mammalia; Primates; Hominidae. The record is from RNAcentral.